Molecule: ribosomal RNA, 528 nt
Filed under: Alternaria alternata
Lineage: Eukaryota; Fungi; Ascomycota; Dothideomycetes; Pleosporales; Pleosporaceae
Also listed under: 1 other name
Description: eukaryotic LSU rRNA
Rfam family: 5.8S ribosomal RNA (bases 153-306)
Source: RNAcentral
GCGGGCUGGAACCUCUCGGGGUUACAGCCUUGCUGAAUUAUUCACCCUUGUCUUUUGCGUACUUCUUGUUUCCUUGGUGGGUUCGCCCACCACUAGGACAAACAUAAACCUUUUGUAAUUGCAAUCAGCGUCAGUAACAAAUUAAUAAUUACAACUUUCAACAACGGAUCUCUUGGUUCUGGCAUCGAUGAAGAACGCAGCGAAAUGCGAUAAGUAGUGUGAAUUGCAGAAUUCAGUGAAUCAUCGAAUCUUUGAACGCACAUUGCGCCCUUUGGUAUUCCAAAGGGCAUGCCUGUUCGAGCGUCAUUUGUACCCUCAAGCUUUGCUUGGUGUUGGGCGUCUUGUCUCUAGCUUUGCUGGAGACUCGCCUUAAAGUAAUUGGCAGCCGGCCUACUGGUUUCGGAGCGCAGCACAAGUCGCACUCUCUAUCAGCAAAGGUCUAGCAUCCACUAAGCCUUUUUUUCAACUUUUGACCUCGGAUCAGGUAGGGAUACCCGCUGAACUUAAGCAUAUCAAUAAGCGGAGGAA